Molecule: ribosomal RNA, 903 nt
Filed under: Triticum aestivum (bread wheat)
Lineage: Eukaryota; Viridiplantae; Streptophyta; Magnoliopsida; Poales; Poaceae
Description: partial small subunit ribosomal RNA
Source: RNAcentral
AUGGAACUGGACAUGUAUAAAAUGGUGGCACAGGCGAACGGCGAGGUCACGUACCAGCUGACCGACCCGACGACAUGGGGCGCGUGGGCGCACGAGGGGCACCGGCUCUGGGCGUCCAUGCCAGAAGACUUCUGGCUAUACGAGUACAAGGUGCGGAUGUGCCCGCAGCCGUACAGCCAUGACUGGACAGCGUGCCCCUACGCGCACAAGGACGAGCGCGCACGCCGCCGCGACCCGCGCCGCUUCAACUACGUCGCCAUCUCCUGCCCGGAGUACCGUGUCAAUGCGCGCGCGCAUGCGCAGCUCCGGCUCGCCGGCGCUGGGCUCCCGCCGCCGACCUGCGCACGCGGCCUCAGGUGCCGCUACGCGCACGGCGUCUUCGAGUUGUGGCUGCACCCAUCCCGGUUCCGCACACGCAAGUGUGAUGCAGGCACGCGCUGCCAGCGCCAGAUCUGCUUCUUCGCACACUUCACCCGCGAGCUCAGGAGCGAGGACCGCAUCGCCACCUUCGCCGCCGCUGCAGUGCGGCCUUCGACCUUCGCCAUGCCGCGGACGCCGCCCCACAUCCUCCAACGCGCUCCAUCCACUUCGGUGACGCAUCCGCAGGAUGUUCCAGCUCCACAGCUGUUCGACGAUGUCACCCCGCAGGCCACUCCAAACAGACUUCGCAUGCUGAGCCUAUACUAUGCCAUCACUGGGGACGAUGUUUUCUCCUCCCCCAUCGCCACUGCCACCGCUGCCGCCGUCGCCGCUGCUGCGACCACCAUGCCGACCAUGAGGGUGCCCUUAAUGGCGUACGAGGAGGAAGAGGAGGACUCUAAAUCCGUCCACUAUGCGAACGACGAAGACUCCCUGCUGAACGACUACCCACACCGAGAUCUCAUCAUGGACUUUAUGCACUAG